RNAcentral lists this ribosomal RNA (520 nucleotides) under uncultured bacterium. RNAcentral describes it as "bacterial SSU rRNA". It matches the Rfam family "Bacterial small subunit ribosomal RNA", at positions 777 to 1297 of the family's 1533-position model. The record is from RNAcentral.
AAUAGAUACCCUGGUAGUCCACGCCGUAAACGAUGUCGACUUGGAGGUUGUGCCCUUGAGGCGUGGCUUCCGGAGCUAACGCGUUAAGUCGACCGCCUGGGGAGUACGGCCGCAAGGUUAAAACUCAAGCGAAUUGACGGGGGCCCGCACAAGCGGUGGAGCAUGUGGUUUAAUUCGAUGCAACGCGAAGAACCUUACCUACUCUUGACAUCCAGAGAACUUGGCAGAGAUGCUUUGGUGCCUUCGGGAACUCUGAGACAGGUGCUGCAUGGCUGUCGUCAGCUCGUGUUGUGAAAUGUUGGGUUAAGUCCCGCAACGAGCGCAACCCUUAUCCUUUGUUGCCAGCGGUCCGGCCGGGAACUCAAAGGAGACUGCCAGUGAUAAACUGGAGGAAGGUGGGGAUGACGUCAAGUCAUCAUGGCCCUUACGAGUAGGGCUACACACGUGCUACAAUGGCGCAUACAAAGAGAAGCGACCUCGCGAGAGCAAGCGGACCUCAUAAAGUGCGUCGUAGUCCGGA